RNAcentral lists this ribosomal RNA (490 nucleotides) under uncultured bacterium. RNAcentral's name for it is "partial 16S ribosomal RNA". It matches the Rfam family "Bacterial small subunit ribosomal RNA", at positions 29 to 523 of the family's 1533-position model. The record is from RNAcentral.
AAUGAACGUUGGCGGCGUGGAUUAGGCAUGCAAGUCGAGCGAGAAGAGUUUGGUAGCUUGCUAUUAAACUCGGAAAGCGGCGAAAGGGAGAGUAACGCGUAGUUAUGUACCCAGGGGUUCGGAAUAGCCACGGGAAACUGUGGGUAAUGCCGAAUAACAUCUCCGGAUCAAAGGUGUGAUUCCGCCCUUGGAGCAGGACUGCAUCCUACUAGCUAGUUGGCGGGGUAAUGGCCCACCAAGGCAACAAUGGGUAGCGGGUGUGAGAGCAUGACCCGUCUCACUGGGACUGAGACACUGCCCAGACACCUACGGGUGGCUGCAGUCGAGAAUCUUCGGCAAUGGCGAAAGCCUGACCGAGCGACGCCGCGUGCGGGAUGAAGGCCCUCGGGUUGUAAACCGCUGUCGUAGGGGAGGAAGGCUCCGUGAAGAACGGGGUUUGACCUAUCCUAGGAGGAAGUACGGGCUAAGUUCGUGCCAGCAGCCGCGGUAA